UAGAAUUAUUUUAAAUAAUAUAUUAGAAAUGAAAUGUUAUUCGUUUUUAAAGGUAUCUAGUUCUUUAAGAAAUAAAUUUAAUUUAUAAAUUUUAUAUUAUUUAGUUAAUUAAAUAAAUUAAAUAAAUAUUUAAUUUUAAUAUUUUAUGGGAUAAGCUAUAAAAUAAAAAUUUAAAAAUUCAUUAAUAAUAAAAUAAAUAUAAGCUUAUAAAUAGUUAUUAUUAAUAAUAAUGUUAUAAUUUAUUUUAAAAUAAUUAUUAUUUAUUAUGUUUUAAAUUUUUAUUAAAGUAUUUAUUUUAAUUUUAAAAAUAAAUUAAUAAUGAUUAAAUUAGUAUAUUAAUUUGUAUUAAUAAAUUUAAAUGUUAAGUUUAUAUAAAGAAUUCGGCAAAAUAAAUGUUCGCCUGUUUAACAAAAACAUGUCUUUUUGAUUUAUAUUAAAAGUUUUAACCUGCCCACUGAAUAAUUUAAAUGGCCGCAGUAUUUUGACUGUGCAAAGGUAGCAUAAUCAUUAGUCUUUUAAUUGAAGGCUGGAAUGAAUGGUUGGACGAAAUAUUAACUGUUUCAUAUAAAUUUUUAUUAGAAUUUUAUUUUUUAGUUAAAAAGCUAAAAUUUAUUUAAAAGACGAGAAGACCCUAUAAAUCUUUAUAUUUAUAUUAUUAUAAUUUAUUAGAAAAAUUUAUUUAUAAUAAUAAAUAAUAUUUUAUUGGGGUGAUAUUAAAAUUUAAAAAACUUUUAAAUUAUUUUAUCAUUAAUUAAUGAUUUAUUGAUCCAUUAUUAGUGAUUAAAAAAAUAAGUUACUUUAGGGAUAACAGCGUAAUUUUUUUUGAGAGUUCUUAUUAAUAAAAAAGAUUGCGACCUCGAUGUUGGAUUAAGAUAUAAUUUUAGGUGUAGUUGCUUAAAUUUUAAGUCUGU
RNAcentral lists this ribosomal RNA (911 nucleotides) under Chaetoria stylata. RNAcentral describes it as "partial 16S rRNA". Lineage: Eukaryota; Metazoa; Arthropoda; Insecta; Diptera; Tachinidae. The record is from RNAcentral.